This is a non-coding RNA of Amborella trichopoda, 2121 nucleotides long. The record is from RefSeq and is a predicted model, not a curated record. NCBI's taxonomy places the organism in Eukaryota, Viridiplantae, Streptophyta, Magnoliopsida, Amborellales, Amborellaceae.
AGUUCUAAAUAUGAAAUGGUAUCAGUUUUGGUUUGUAGCAUAUUUAUUUGGUAUUAUUAAAUUCGGAUUGUAUCUUAAAUGGGUACUAUCUAGGAUAUAAUUCUCUCAUCAACCAUAUUGGUUUAGUACAUUUCAUUUCAAGACUGGAUAUUCUUAGCCAUUCGCGCACACUGCGAGUGGUGUGGCCGUGGGUGGCAUUCGCGCACACUGCAAGUGGUAGCCACAAAGUCACCCAUCGCUCACACCUCACAGCAAACCCUAAUAUUUUUUUGCCCCUUUUUAAAACAAACCCUAAUUUCUCCCUUCACUGAAACCCUAAAUUCAUCGCAACCUUUUCUGCCUAGAAUCGGCCAUUGAAGCUCCACUUCAGAGAUCUAAGAUCCCUUGGUUCGGAUACUGCCGUCGGUCGCAUUUGCGGACACUGCAAGUGGUGGCCACAAGGUCACCCCAUCGCUCACACCUCACAGCAAACCCUAAUGUUUUUUUUGCCCCUUUUUAAAACAAUCCCUAAUUUCCCCUUCAGUGAAACCCUAAAUUCAUCGCAGCCUUUGCUGCCUAGAAUCGGCCAUUAAAGCUCCACUUCAGAGAUCUAAGAACCCUUGGUUCGGAUACUGGUGUUGUAAUACAACAGAGGGCAUAUGGACAUGGACAGCUAUAUAAAGAGGGCGAUGGGUAAACUGGUUCGGCAAAGAUGAAAAAAGAAUUGGUUCGGCAAAGAUGAAAAACGAACCACCAUUGUAAAACUUAUAGCAUUUAUAACAAUAUUGAUUUAUAACAAUAUUGAUUUUGGUGAAAUAGAUUUAUAACAAUAUUGAUUUGGUGAAAUAUUACUCUUUUGGUGAAAUAAAUUGUGAUUGUGAUUGUGAUUCCAGCGUGAUAGAUUUACCCAUGAUUAUGGGUUUUAGUGAAAUAAAUUGUGAUUGUGAUUCCAGCGUGAUAGAUUUACCCAUGAUUAUGGGUUUUAGUGAAAUAAAUUGUGAUUGUGAUUCCCGCUUAAUAGAUUUUCGCAAUUUAUGAUUAUGGGUGUUUAUGAAUUCUAUUUUUUCUUUUUAUGUAUAUAAAAAUAUAUAAUAUUUUAAUAACAUGACUGGAUUAACCUGUUUCCCAUCCAAAUAGGAUGACUUAGGAACUGGUUAAUCCGGUCAUGUUAUUAAAAUAUUAUAUAUAAAGAAAUAGAAUUCAUAAAUAUCCAUAAUCAUAAAUUGAGACACACUGAAAUCACAAUCACAAUUUAUUUGACUGAAAGAUUAAUAUUUCACCAAAAUCAAUAUAACUACAAAUGCAAUAAGUUUUACCUACCUUAAUAUAAAGAUUCUUUUUCUCAUUUUUGCCAAUCUGUUUACCUCAUCUCCCAUCUCCAAUUUGCUGACAUUGGCUUUUUUAUGAAACAAAAGGCUAUGCAUAGAGAUAUGGAUGGGCCAUCCUGAAGCAAAACCAUUUAGAAAGGCGAGCUUUCCCCUUUAUGAUCAACUUGCUUUUAACUUACCAUACUAGUAGAAGGUAAACAUGCCACAGGGAAAAGGCAAUUAUCGACUGUUCGUCAAGAGUCAAUAGAAGAUGACAUAAGUGAACCUAAAAUUGAGCAAAGUCCACAAUCAGACCCACACUAUAAUGCAAAUGAGAAUGAUUUGAGCUUUUCAGAUGAUAUGCCUAUGGACCCCCUUGAAAGGAACAAAUGUCAUGCUCUUGUAAAAUUAAUUCCACAUGUCUAGCCCUGCAAGUAGAUUAGCAGUAGCUGUUGAAAAUUUAGUCAGGGCAAACAUGUCAACCUCUUAAAUAGUACAAAAGGCUACAGAAAAUGAAGAGUUUUCAUAUAAUAGUGCUUGAUAGAAUUGCAGCAGUUGGAAGGCUCAAGUCAAAGUGAGCGUGUGCAAGCAAUAGAUUUACUUGCUAAUGAAAAGGUGGCCAUCGCAUUUAUGACUCUCGAAGGAGAACUUUGUUUGGAUUGGCUGCGUUCUAAAUGUCACAUAGUAGAGUAGACAUCCAUUUUGUAUUUUUAAUUUUUUUUUUUGUGUGGGGACUGUUAAUUAGUUACUUAAAGAACUUCCUAAUCUAUCUAUGACUUUUGGACCUGAAUUUGUUUAGUAACAUGAAUAAAAUGUUUGCUGAUUUUUAAAUUUA